Molecule: transfer RNA, 88 nt
Filed under: Chloroflexota bacterium
Lineage: Bacteria; Bacillati; Chloroflexota
Description: Chloroflexi bacterium (sediment metagenome) tRNA-Leu
Rfam family: tRNA
About the family: Transfer RNA (tRNA) molecules are approximately 80 nucleotides in length.
Source: RNAcentral
GCCGAAGUGGCGGAACUGGCAGACGCGCGACGUUCAGGGCGUCGUGGGCCUUGCGCCCGUGGGAGUUCAAAUCUCCCCUUCGGCACCA